UGGGGAAUAUUGGACAAUGGGGGAAACCCUGAUCCAGCAAUGCCGCGUGGGUGAAGAAGGCCUUCGGGUUGUAAAGCCCUUUAGGCGGGGAAGAAGGUUAUAGGGUGAUAAGCCUUAUAGCUUGACGGUACCCGCAGAAUAAGCACCGGCUAACUCUGUGCCAGCAGCCGCGGUAAUACAGAGGGUGCAAGCGUUAAUCGGAUUUACUGGGCGUAAAGGGCGCGUAGGUGGUAAGGCAAGUAAGAUGUGAAAGCCCUGGGCUUAACCUGGGAAGUGCAUCUUAAACUGCCUAACUAGAGUAUGGUAGAGGGUAGUGGAAUUUCCGGUGUAGCGGUGAAAUGCGUAGAGAUCGGAAGGAACGCCAGUGGUGAAGACGACUACCUGGACCAAUACUGACACUGAGGCGCGAAAGCGUGGGGAUCAAACAGG
This 429-nucleotide ribosomal RNA is filed under the name uncultured bacterium. RNAcentral describes it as "bacterial SSU rRNA". It matches the Rfam family "Bacterial small subunit ribosomal RNA", at positions 355 to 776 of the family's 1533-position model. The record is from RNAcentral.